AACGAACGCUGGCGGCAUGCCUAACACAUGCAAGUCGAACGAGACCUUCGGGUCUAGUGGCGCACGGGUGCGUAACGCGUGGGAACCUGCCCUUAGGUUCGGAAUAACUCCCCGAAAGGGGUGCUAAUACCGGAUAAUGUCUUCGGACCAAAGAUUUAUCGCCUUUGGAUGGGCCCGCGUUGGUUUAGCUAGUUGGUAGGGUAAAAGCCUACCAAGGCGACGAUCCAUAGCUGGUCUGAGAGGAUGAUCAGCCACACUGGGACUGAGACACGGCCCAGACUCCUACGGGAGGCAGCAGUGGGGAAUAUUGGACAAUGGGCGAAAGCCUGAUCCAGCAAUGCCGCGUGAGUGAUGAAGGGCUUAGGGUUGUAAAGCUCUUUUACCCGGGAUGAUAAUGACAGUACCGGGAGAAUAAGCUCCGGCUAACUCCGU
This 432-nucleotide ribosomal RNA is filed under the name uncultured bacterium. RNAcentral describes it as "partial 16S ribosomal RNA". It matches the Rfam family "Bacterial small subunit ribosomal RNA", at positions 29 to 506 of the family's 1533-position model. The record is from RNAcentral.